AUUGAACGCUGGCGGCAUGCCUUACACAUGCAAGUCGAACGGCAGCACGGGGGCAACCCCUGGUGGCGAGUGGCGAACGGGUGAGUAACAUAUCGGAACAUACCCUAGAGUGGGGAUAACGUAGCGAAAGUUACGCUAAUACCGCAUACGAUCUAAGGAUGAAAAGUGGGGGGAUCUUCGGACCUCAUGCUCAUGGAGUGGCCGAUAUCUGACUAGCUAGUUGGUGAGGUAAAAGGCUCACCAAGGCGACGAUCAGUAGCUGGUUUGAGAGAACGACCAGCCACACUGGAACUGAGACACGGUCCAGACUCCUACGGGAGGCAGC
RNAcentral lists this ribosomal RNA (325 nucleotides) under uncultured bacterium. Its description in RNAcentral is "bacterial SSU rRNA". It matches the Rfam family "Bacterial small subunit ribosomal RNA", at positions 30 to 352 of the family's 1533-position model. The record is from RNAcentral.